Molecule: long non-coding RNA, 951 nt
Filed under: Ananas comosus (pineapple)
Lineage: Eukaryota; Viridiplantae; Streptophyta; Magnoliopsida; Poales; Bromeliaceae
Description: long non-coding RNA (ACOM_LNC022498)
Source: RNAcentral
AAUUUGCAUAAAAAAUUCAUCGAUUUUGAGUUUUUGCAAAAGUAGGUCGUCUUUUUAGAUUUUGCAGAUUUGGUCCGAAUUUUUAAUAAACUAACUAAAAUACCCUUAUUACUAUUUCUCUCUCUCUCUCUUUUUUUCAAUAUUCCAUCUUUUUGAAAGUCGAAUUAAAAUAUUCUAUAAGUUUAUAUAUACAGAGAGAAUUCGGUUACUAUACUAUCAAUAGUAUUUGGAGUAUUUUACUAUAAAGUUUUUAGCCGUUAGAUUUAAUUUUUUAAUUAUUUCUACCAUUGGACCAAAUAUUAUUUAACCAGCUACCAUUAAACCGAAGGGGAUAACCACUCAACCUUAAAGUACUACUAUCAUCCUAACCCUACAAUUUUUCAUCCAAGAGUUAAAAAUUGGACAGUAAAUGUCACGCCCCGGGACCGGCGGAGGCCCUUCCGGUAGCAUGCCCAGACCCGCCAUAUGCCUGCACAUAUAAGGCGUCUACAACAAUAGCGAUAAUGAUAAGGAUAAACAAGUAUCUAGAGAUAUCACAGCAAGUAACAGCUAAGUUCUAACAACAAGUAAAGAGAGAAGGAACUAACAACUUAAAAUAAGACAUAAAGUGAAUACAUCAAACUGUCUCAAAGCAAGUACUAUAAUACCCAAAAUGGUAGUCUCUAUGUAGGGUACAAACGUUCUCAUUCUCUCCAACUAAAACAAAAAGGAGAAAAUGAUCCACCUAGCAAGACCCCUCGCUCGCUAGCUCGAGGCGAGACCCUUGCCGCGAUCCCUAACCUCUCUCGGAGCAGAAGGCUCUGAAAAUAAAACAUAAAACAGGGGGGUGUGAGAACUAUAAUUUAUAAUUUUCAGUGGGCAAUUACUGACCUGAGCAAAAUGCACCACUAAGCCCAAAAGCAUGAGUAGAUAAAAGAAACUACUAGUAAGCUGCGAAUAUGAAAAGCAUGU